AAGGAUUUAAGUUAAAAAAACUCGUAGCCUUCAAAGCUUCAAUUAAAGAAGGUGUCUUUAAGCCUUA
RNAcentral lists this transfer RNA (67 nucleotides) under Staphylinidae sp. BMNH 1274642. RNAcentral describes it as "tRNA-Trp". The record is from RNAcentral. Lineage: Eukaryota; Metazoa; Arthropoda; Insecta; Coleoptera; Staphylinidae.